This 329-nucleotide ribosomal RNA is filed under the name uncultured eukaryote. RNAcentral's name for it is "partial 18S ribosomal RNA". It matches the Rfam family "Eukaryotic small subunit ribosomal RNA", at positions 1470 to 1796 of the family's 1831-position model. The record is from RNAcentral.
CCCUUAGAUGUUCUGGGCCGCACGCGCGCUACACUGAUGCAUUCAACGAGUCUAAAACCUGCUCUGAUAGGGGUGGGUAAUCUUUUGAAUGUGCAUCGUGAUUGGGAUAGAUGAUUGAAAUUUUUCAUCUUCAACGAGGAAUGCCUAGUAAACGCAAGUCAUCAGCUUGCAUUGAUUACGUCCCUGCCCUUUGUACACACCGCCCGUCGCUCCUACCGAUUGAAUGAUCCGAUGAAUAUCAUGGAUUGAGGAUGCAAGUAGGUUAGCCUAUCUUCAUCUUCGAGAAGUGAAGUAAAUCUUAUCAUUUAGAGGAAGGAGAAGUCGUAACA